CUCCAUGUGGCCUCAAGGCCCUCCUCGGCCUCCUCGGCCUUGGAUCCUGCUCGCUAGAGAACUGAUCACACCAAGGUCUGCCAGAAAGACCAGCCAGAGUGCCGAGGGCCUUGCAGUUCUGGAUGGAGCACCAGACUGGAGCUGACAGCGAGAGGAAGCCACUCGGGGACCCUAAGAGUGAACAGCGCUCAGCAGCCCUCGCUCAUUCUCAGCUCAGCUCUCUGUGGCAGACGCACCUGUGCUGAGCAGAGCCAGACUCUGAAGAAGACUCCGAGGCAGUGUCAAGACCCUCAGUGACUUCAUUGCCUGGGUGAUCUUGGGACCUUGGACGAGCCAUUUAACUUCUCAUGUGUAACCCGGUGAUGGCAGCAGUGACUUAAUGUCGCUAUUUCGAGGCCUGAGAUGUGAAGAGGUGCUUGACACAGUGGCUGGCAUCAAUCAAAUGAUAAAUGAUGGGAAGGGUAAUAAUGGCUACUGUUAACUGAGGGCUUACUGAGUGCCAGAUGCUGUCCUACGCACUUGAGAUGA
Molecule: long non-coding RNA, 528 nt
Organism: Eptesicus fuscus (big brown bat)
Lineage: Eukaryota; Metazoa; Chordata; Mammalia; Chiroptera; Vespertilionidae
Exons: 4
Source: RefSeq, a predicted model, not a curated record